GAUGAAGAACGUAGCAAAAUGCGAUAAGUAAUGUGAAUUGCAGAAUUCAGUGAAUCAUCGAAUCUUUGAACGCACCUUGCACCCUUUGGCAUUCUGAAGGGUAUGCUCGUUUGAGUGUCAUUGUACUCUCACACUCCCGAUCUUUGCAUUGGGAGCAGUGGACUUGGGUUUGCUGCUUCACCGUCGCUUACCUCAAAUAGGUUAGUGCAACUCUUGGUUGGACAUAGUACGGCGUGAUAAGUGUUCUUCGCCGGUGCCUCGCAAAGAGGGUGGCCGAUCGGGAUGUUGUGCUCCAAACCGUCUUCGGACAAUCUCUGACGACUUGACCUCAAAUCGAGUAAGACUACCCGCUGAACUUAAGCAUAUCAAUAAGCGGAGGA
RNAcentral lists this unclassified non-coding RNA (380 nucleotides) under soil metagenome. RNAcentral describes it as "partial contains 5.8S ribosomal RNA, internal transcribed spacer 2, and large subunit ribosomal RNA". The stretch from base 1 to 120 matches the Rfam family "5.8S ribosomal RNA", at positions 35 to 154 of the family's 154-position model. The record is from RNAcentral.